Molecule: ribosomal RNA, 442 nt
Filed under: uncultured bacterium
Lineage: Bacteria
Description: bacterial SSU rRNA
Rfam family: Bacterial small subunit ribosomal RNA
Source: RNAcentral
CCUACGGGCGGCAGCAGUCAAGAAUAUUCCUCAAUGGACGAAAGUCUGACGCAGCGACGCCGCGUGUAGGAUGAAGGUUUUCGGGUCGUAAACUACUUUUAUGUGGGAAGAAUUUGUUACGGUACCACACGAAUAAGAGGUUGCUAACUCUGUGCCAGCAGCAGCGGUAAUACAGAGACCUCAAGCGUUAUCCGGAAUUAUUGGGCGUAAAGCGUCCGCAGGUUGUGAGAGUAGUCAGAAGUUAAAACUUCGCGCUUAACGUGAAGAUUGCUUUUGAUACUGUCACGCUAGAGUAUGGGAGAGGUAAGCGGAAUUCUCGGUGUAGGCGUAAUAAGCGUUGAUAUCGAGAAGAACACCAGAUGCGAAGGCAGCUUACUAGAACAUUACUGACACUCAUGGACGAAAGCGUGGGGAGCAAACAGGAUUAGAUACCCCAGUAGUC